UGGGGAAUUUUGGACAAUGGGGGCAACCCUGAUCCAGCGACGCCGCGUGAAGGAUGAAGGUCUUCGGAUUGUAAACUUCUUUUAGAGGGGAUGAAUGGCCUGGUGAAUAGCCAGGUAUGACAGUACCCUUUGAAUAAGCCACGGCUAACUACGUGCCAGCAGCCGCGGUAAUACGUAGGUGGCAAGCGUUACUCGGAAUCACUAGGCGUAAAGCGCAGGUAGGAGGUUUAGUAAGUCUGUUGUGAAAGCUCCCGGCUUAACUGGGAGAGGUCAACGGAAACUGCUAGGCUGGAGUGCGGUAGAGGUAGCUGGAAUUCCCGGUGUAGCGGUGAAAUGCGUAGAUAUCGGGAGGAAUACCUAUGGCGAAAGCAGGCUACUGGACCGUCACUGACUCUGAUCUGCGAAAGCUAGGGGAGCAAACAG
RNAcentral lists this ribosomal RNA (423 nucleotides) under uncultured bacterium. Its description in RNAcentral is "bacterial SSU rRNA". It matches the Rfam family "Bacterial small subunit ribosomal RNA", at positions 355 to 775 of the family's 1533-position model. The record is from RNAcentral.